RNAcentral lists this ribosomal RNA (506 nucleotides) under uncultured bacterium. Its description in RNAcentral is "partial 16S ribosomal RNA". It matches the Rfam family "Bacterial small subunit ribosomal RNA", at positions 29 to 523 of the family's 1533-position model. The record is from RNAcentral.
AGUGAACGCUGGCGGUAGGCCUAACAUAUGCAAGUCGAACGGCAGCACAGGAGAGCUUGCUCUCUGGGUGGCGAGUGGCGGACGGGUGAGGAAUACAUCGGAAUCUACUCUGUCGUGGGGGAUAACGUAGGGAAACUUACGCUAAUACCGCAUACGACCUACGGGUGAAAGCAGGGGAUCUUCGGACCUUGCGCGAUUGAAUGAGCCGAUGUCGGAUUAGCUAGUUGGCGGGGUAAAGGCCCACCAAGGCGACGAUCCGUAGCUGGUCUGAGAGGAUGAUCAGCCACACUGGAACUGAGACACGGUCCAGACUCCUACGGGAGGCAGCAGUGGGGAAUAUUGGUCAAUGGGCGCAAGCCUGAUCCAGCCAUACCGCGUGGGUGAAGAAGGCCUUCGGGUUGUAAAGCCCUUUUGUUGGGAAAGAAAUCCAGCUGGCUAAUACCCGGUUGGGAUGACGGUACCCAAAGAAUAAGCACCGGCUAACUUCGUGCCAGCCGCCGCUGUAA